Long non-coding RNA from Hydra vulgaris (swiftwater hydra), 2043 nucleotides. RefSeq lists it as uncharacterized. Lineage: Eukaryota; Metazoa; Cnidaria; Hydrozoa; Anthoathecata; Hydridae. The record is from RefSeq and is a predicted model, not a curated record.
CAAAAUACAUGGCAAGAGCAAGAUAUGUACCAAGAAAAAUGGCGAGAUCGGAAAAAAUAGUAAUAAGCGAUGAAAUCGAAACGAUAGUAAUUCCAGACGACUAAGAAUUGGAGUUUCUGCUGGUUGAUUUAACAGAGGACGAAUUUUUCAAAAAAGUUGAUGAAAAAACAAAAGAUGAAAUUCAAAAAAAAAAGAGUAAAUACCACAAAAAAAGAGAUCGAGAGCAAAAAAGAGUUCUUUUAUUUUAUUAAUCUGUUAGGAUUAAAUAUUUUUGCAUAAAAGCUGCAUUUUUUUAUAACACAUCAUUCAAAAUACAUGGCAAGAACAAGACUUGUACCAAGAAAAAUGGCGUGGUAAUUUGACAAUGACAUUCUAUUAUACUUAUAAUUACCAUUAUCUUGGAAAUUUGUAAUUGUUAUUAUUUUAUUUAAAAAUAAAAAUUAAUUGUUUUAAGUAGCCAACAAUUACAUUAAAAAAUCAGUAUUGAUUUUUAUAUAUCACAUUAUGUGACGCCAAGUCACAAAAAAUUUUGAGUUUUUAAAAAAAAAAGUAUUUCCGCAUAAAAAGUAUAAAAACUCACAAACUUUAAAAUAAUAUUAUUUUUUUUCUAUAAAAGCUUUCGCCUUCAAAUAAAAAAAAUAUAAAAGAUCUAUCUUUGUUAAAUAAAUAUCUAUAUUAAACGGGCUAUAAUAAUAAAAUUUUGUUAAAAUAUUGCAAUGACGUAAAACAUACAACUUUAAAAUAAUUUGCCUAAUAUUAUUUUGCGAUUUUGAUGUCUGAUCUUUAAUAAUCCCUGUUUUUUUUUUUUUUUUUUUUUUUUUUUUUUAUAAGUUGAUUUAGGUGCCCCAAGAAAUCCUUACGGUCUUUUUUGCUUAUUUACUUAUUUUACCACCAAUAAUUGGAGGUAAAACAUCUUGAUAUAUAAUUAUUAUAACAUUACCUUAAUAAUUCUAUUUAUUUACAGAUGUAAUUCAAAGGGUAUGGAGCUUGUAUCUGAAGAUUUUAUGGAAAUUACAAUUCAGUUUGUUAACAAAUUUUAUUGUAAAAAUGCCCAAGACACAUACUUGCAGUCAUUGAUUGAAAAGAAGGAAAUAGAGAGAAGACGGUUUAGAUCUAAAGAACCUAAGAAAAAAAAAAUUCUUUUAUUUAUCAGAUUAAGAUUGAAGGUAUGAUUAGUAAAUUAGGCAAGAAAGCUUUUUGCUGUAUGCAUGGAAUUUCUAUGAAACAAGUUAGACGUUUAUGCAUUUUAUAAAAAAAAAAAGAGCAGCCUAUUGAUCACAGAGGUAAAUUUCAGUGAUCACAAUACAUAUUUUCUGAUGGUUGUGCAGGCCAAAACAGAAAUUAUGCCAUGGUCCGAAUACUUUUUUCACUGAUAGCUGAACUAGAUAGCAAUAUAAAUGAGAUACAAUAUUACAUACCAAAAAGAGGUCACUCGUUCUUGCCAAACGAUAGAAUGUUUGGAACAGCAAAACGACAUUUGAAAAAAUGAUCGGAUUAACACACCAACAGAGUAUAAACAUCUUAUAGCUGAAGCAAGCAAAAAAUUUAAAAUUAGAAGGCUCAAAACUGAAGAUAUUAUUGAUGUAAAAAAAUGGUGGCCAAAACAUUAUAAGAAAAUUGUACUAUCUGUGGAUUCCUAUGGAAAAGAAGUACCCAAGGACAAAAAACUUACUUUUGGUAUUUCUAAAGUCUCACAUUUCACAUUCUCAAAUACCACACCAGGUUUAGUGACAACACGUGAAUCCAUAGAUUGCUUAGUCAGUUAUAAUUUCCAGCUAUUACAAAGGAUGGGUACCUUGUCAACCUUACCAUUAAGUAGUAUUCCUGCAUAUGUUGGAAAAUUGCCUAUCAAUGAAAAAAAUAAAUAAGAUUUAAAAAAUAUAUAUAAAAAUAUUCCAUAUUCAAUAGAAGAGUACCAAAACUUCUAUGCAAAGGUUUUUGCUUCGCCAACAACUUCGGCAAACAAUGAAUUCCAAGAAACAAGUGAUGAUUACCUAACAAUAAUUGUUUUUAUGUAAUAAUAAAUCAUUAUUAUUCUGAUAA